This 1451-nucleotide ribosomal RNA is filed under the name uncultured bacterium. RNAcentral describes it as "bacterial SSU rRNA". It matches the Rfam family "Bacterial small subunit ribosomal RNA". The record is from RNAcentral.
AGAGUUUGAUCCUGGCUCAGAAUCAACGCUGGCGGCGCGCUUAACACAUGCAAGUCGCACGAGAAAGUGGAGCAAUCCAUGAGUACAGUGGCGUACGGGUGAGUAACACGUGGAUUAUCUACCUUCUAGUGGGGAAUACCUCCGGGAAACUGGAGACAAUACCGCAUAAGCUCGUAAGAGGAAAGCAGCAAUGCGCUGGAAGAGGAGUCCGCGGCUGAUUAGCUAGUUGGCGGGGUAAUGGCCCACCAAGGCGAAGAUCGGUAGCCGGCCUGAGAGGGCACACGGCCACACUGGCACUGAAACACGGGCCAGACUCCUACGGGAGGCAGCAGUGGGGAAUCUUGCACAAUGGGGGAAACCCUGAUGCAGCGACGCCGCGUGAGCGAUGAAGCCCUUCGGGGUGUAAAGCUCUUUCGGCAGGGAAGAUUAUGACGGUACCUGCAGAAGCAGCUGCGGCUAACUACGUGCCAGCAGCCGCGGUAAUACGUAGGCAGCAAGCGUUGUUCGGAGUUACUGGGCGUAAAGGGUGUGUAGGCGGUUGUUUAAGUUUGGUGUGAAAUCUCCCGGCUCAACUGGGAGGGUGCGCCGAAUACUGAAUGACUCGAGUGCGGGAGAGGAGAGUGGAAUUCCUGGUGUAGCGGUGAAAUGCGUAGAUAUCAGGAGGAACACCGGCGGUGUAGACGGCUCUCUGGACCGUAACUGACGCUGAGACACGAAAGCGUGGGUAGCAAACAGGAUUAGAUACCCUGGUAGUCCACGCCCUAAACGAUGCAUAUUUGGUGUGGGCAGUUCAUUCUGUCCGUGCCGGAGCUAACGCGUUAAAUAUGCCGCCUGGGGAGUACAGUCGCAAGGCUGAAACUCAAAGGAAUUGACGGGGGCCCGCACAAGCGGUGGAGCAUGUGGUUCAAUUCGACGCAACGCGAAGAACCUUACCUGGGUUUGAACUGCAGUGGAAAGCCUCAGAGAUGAGGUCCCCUCUUCGGAGGUCGCUGUAGAGGUGCUGCAUGGCUGUCGUCAGCUCGUGUCGUGAGAUGUUGGGUUAAGUCCCGCAACGAGCGCAACCCUUGUCCACAGUUGCUAACGCGUAAUGGCGAGAACUCUGUGGAGACUGCCGGUGACAAGCCGGAGGAAGGUGGGGAUGACGUCAAGUCCUCAUGGCCCUUAUGUCCUGGGCUACACACGUGCUACAAUGGCGGUGACAGCGGGAUGCCAGGUCGCAAGGCCGAGCCGAUCCCAAAAAGCCGUCUCAGUUCGGAUCGGAGUCUGCAACCUGACUCCGUGAAGCCGGAAUCGCUAGUAAUCGUGAAUCAGCAACGUCACGGUGAAUACGUUCUCAGAUCUUGUACUCACCGCCCGUCACACCAAGAGAGUCGGUAACACCCAAAGCUCCAGUAUCAAAACUGGGAUGACGGUGGGAUUGAUGAUAAGGGUGAAGUCGUAACAAGGUAUCC